GUGUCAGCAGCCGCGGUAAUACGUAUGGGGCAAGCGUUAUCCGGAUUUAUUGGGCGUAAAGAGCGCGUAGGCGGAUUGUUAAGUCAGAUGUGAAAUCCGGGGGCUCAACCCGCGGUCUGCAUCUGAAACUGGCAGUCUUGAGUCUGGUAGAGGAAAGUGGAAUUCCCAGUGUAGCGGUGAAAUGCGCAGAUAUUGGGAGGAACACCAGUGGCGAAGGCGGCUUUCUGGGCCACGACUGACGCUGAGGCGCGAAAGCUAGGGGAGCAAACAGGAUUAGAUACCCGCGUAGUCC
RNAcentral lists this ribosomal RNA (292 nucleotides) under uncultured bacterium. RNAcentral's name for it is "partial 16S ribosomal RNA". It matches the Rfam family "Bacterial small subunit ribosomal RNA", at positions 505 to 796 of the family's 1533-position model. The record is from RNAcentral.